RNAcentral lists this small RNA (125 nucleotides) under Marmota monax (woodchuck). Lineage: Eukaryota; Metazoa; Chordata; Mammalia; Rodentia; Sciuridae. The record is from RNAcentral.
GCCAGGUACAGUGGUGCAUGCCUGUAAUCCCAGCAGCUCGGGAGGCUGAGGCAGGAGGAUCACGAGUUCAAAGCCAGUCUCAGCAAAAAUGAAGCACUAAGCAACUCAGUGAGACCCUGUCUCUA